AAGGACUGCCGGGAGUGGAAGGGAGAGGCGGUCACCCUCAGGGGAAACAGGUGUCCCCCCCCCCUGGAGGAAAUGGACUGAUCGGAACCUGGCUGUGACAUCGGCUCAGAAUCCCAGCCUCACUUUGCAGUUGAGGCCAACAGCCUUUUGGUGGUUUCUCUGCAAGUGAAUCAGGAAAAACUCUUAUUGGACGCCGAGAAAGCAAAGCCUGAAGACUGAUGUCUGGGGAAAUGUCAGCCACCGAGGAGGACAUUCCCAAUGUCAAGGAGGACGAAGGAAAA
This is a non-coding RNA of Podarcis muralis (Common wall lizard), 281 nucleotides long. The record is from RefSeq and is a predicted model, not a curated record. Lineage: Eukaryota; Metazoa; Chordata; Lepidosauria; Squamata; Lacertidae.